UACGUAGGGUGCGAGCGUUAAUCGGAAUUACUGGGCGUAAAGCGUGCGCAGGCGGUUCGUUGUGUCGGCGGUGAAAGCCCCCGGGCUUAACCUGGGAAUGGCCGUUGAAACUGGCGAACUGGAGUGUGGCAGAGGGGGGGUGGAAUUCCGCGUGUAGCAGUGAAAUGCGCAGAUAUCAGGAGGAACACCAGCGGCGAAGGCGGCGCUCUGGGCCGGAACUGACGCUGAGGAGCGAAAGCGUGGGUAGCAAACAGG
Molecule: ribosomal RNA, 255 nt
Filed under: uncultured bacterium
Lineage: Bacteria
Description: partial 16S ribosomal RNA
Rfam family: Bacterial small subunit ribosomal RNA
Source: RNAcentral